Molecule: ribosomal RNA, 638 nt
Filed under: uncultured Methyloversatilis sp.
Lineage: Bacteria; Pseudomonadati; Pseudomonadota; Betaproteobacteria; Nitrosomonadales; Sterolibacteriaceae
Description: bacterial SSU rRNA
Rfam family: Bacterial small subunit ribosomal RNA
Source: RNAcentral
CAAGUCGAGCGGCAGCGCGGGGCAACCUGGCGGCGAGCGGCGAACGGGUGAGUAAUACAUCGGAACGUACCCAGUCGUGGGGGAUAACGCAUCGAAAGGUGUGCUAAUACCGCAUACGUCCUGAGGGAGAAAGCGGGGGAUCGCAAGACCUCGCGCGAUUGGAGCGGCCGAUGUCUGAUUAGCUAGUUGGUGGGGUAAAGGCCUACCAAGGCGACGAUCAGUAGCUGGUCUGAGAGGACGACCAGCCACACUGGGACUGAGACACGGCCCAGACUCCUACGGGAGGCAGCAGUGGGGAAUUUUGGACAAUGGGCGAAAGCCUGAUCCAGCCAUUCCGCGUGAGUGAAGAAGGCCUUCGGGUUGUAAAGCUCUUUCGGCAGGAACGAAAAGGUAUGGGUUAACACCCUGUGCCGAUGACGGUACCUGAAGAAGAAGCACCGGCUAACUACGUGCCAGCAGCCGCGGUAAUACGUAGGGUGCGAGCGUUAAUCGGAAUUACUGGGCGUAAAGCGUGCGCAGGUGGUUGUUUAAGACAGAUGUGAAAUCCCCGGGCUCAACCUGGGAACUGCGUUUGUGACUGGACAGCUAGAGUAUGGCAGAGGGGGGUGGAAUUCCACGUGUAGCAGUGAAAUGCGUAG